This 540-nucleotide ribosomal RNA is filed under the name Cordyceps blackwelliae. Its description in RNAcentral is "eukaryotic LSU rRNA". The stretch from base 209 to 362 matches the Rfam family "5.8S ribosomal RNA". Lineage: Eukaryota; Fungi; Ascomycota; Sordariomycetes; Hypocreales; Cordycipitaceae. The record is from RNAcentral.
UGGUGAACCAGCGGAGGGAUCAUUACCAGAGUUUUACAACUCCCAACCCUUCUGUGAACCUACCCAUCGUUGCUUCGGCGGACUCGCCCCAGCGUCCGGACGGCCCCGCGCCGGCCCGCGACCUGGACCCAGGCGGCCGCCGGAGACCACGCAACCCUGUAUCCAUCAGUCUCUCUGAAUCCGCCGCGAGGCAACACAAAUGAAUCAAAACUUUCAACAACGGAUCUCUUGGUUCUGGCAUCGAUGAAGAACGCAGCGAAAUGCGAUACGUAAUGUGAAUUGCAGAAUUCCGUGAAUCAUCGAAUCUUUGAACGCACAUUGCGCCCGCCAGCACUCUGGCGGGCAUGCCUGUUCGAGCGUCAUUUCAACCCUCGACGUCCCCCGGGGGACGUCGGCCUUGGGGACCGGCAGCACCCCCGCCGGCCCUGAAAUGGAGUGGCGGCCCGUCCGCGGCGACCUCUGCGCAGUACAACCACUCGCACCGGGAACCCGACGCGGCCCGCCGUGAAACCCCCAACUCUGAACGUUGACCUCGGAUCA